Molecule: long non-coding RNA, 1427 nt
Organism: Syngnathoides biaculeatus (alligator pipefish)
Lineage: Eukaryota; Metazoa; Chordata; Actinopteri; Syngnathiformes; Syngnathidae
Exons: 3
Source: RefSeq, a predicted model, not a curated record
AAUUGAGCACCCUUGAUGAAGACAAAUAAUGUAACGAUACUCACAGUAUAUAUUCUUCAUCCACAAAAGAAAAAUGACAGCUAUUAGAGCACUUUACUGAGUCACAGUAGCAGUACUGUAGAAGAAACACUAUUCUAAGUUUGUGUCUGCAUGACUGUAGUAUUCUGCCUCCUGAUGGUCUCAUCAGAAGGAGCAGUAUAAAGAAUUGGAUUGCAGCAGUAAAUCCUGAUAGGCAGAUUAUGGGAUGCGUCGUAUUCUAUUCAAUUGUAUCUCAUUUUUAUUUCUACGCUAGUCAGUCAAAAUAGUACUUCAUGUAAAUCCGGUCCUUGGUGCGUUGAGGCACUGGUGGUUGAGACUCUUUUGAUUAACUGCAUGUGCAUUAACUAGCGAAGAAGCUUGCAAACUCCUCCGUCCAUCUUGGCCUUAAACAGCGGCUAAAAUGAGUGUUUAAGACACCAUUUUCCCGCACUGAAUAUACUUUGAAAGGCGCUAUUGACCUGAACAUUUGAACAGAUGUUAGAACCAGCCCAAGUAAUCCCUAUGUAAAGGAGAGGAAAUAAAACCAGAAAUGAUGUUCUGUAAAAAUGUGAAAAGACAUGGGGGGGAAAGUAUUGUAUAAAGGGAGGUGCAAAAAUGCAUGGAAAGCCAAGACAACACCUAAAAUCUAACUAUUACCAAAUGGCGAUCCAGCCCCUUGUUAGUGAAAAUGAACAUCAGCUGGUUCGGUCUUAAGUGAUGGCCUACAAAAAGGUCUCAAUGCAAAUGUGUGAGUCCAGGCACAUCUCAUGAUGGGUCGGAGCAAAGAGCCGUCUCAAAACUGUUGUCAAACAUAACGAUGGCACUGGCUUCAGGUUAUGAUGCUUCGGUGAAAAGCCAAUCAUACCACUAUAAAUUUGCCUCAAUCAGGUGUUCCUCGCAGGAUUUCCGACAAAGGAGUGCAAAUAAUAAUCAGAAGAGUUGUCCAAGAGCCAAGCCACCUGUGGAGGGCUUCAAAAAGACCUGGAACGAGCAGGUACAAGGAAAACUUUUAUAUAUCCCCCAUAUACGCAAAAUGCCAAUGAUCAGAUGGAGUAAGAUUCCCCAUCUGAUUGGGAUUGGAUUUAUCGACAGCUACGUGGCAAUUUAUGUUGUCAAAAUGUGCAGUGAGAGGUGUGUGCAACUUCCAAUAGGCAUGUAAACUGGAUCCUUUUUUUAUGUAAAACCAUUCACCGUAAGGAAAUAAGCCAACAAACUGCAUGGCUCGCCUGGUCCUCGUCUGUCAUCGACGAAUAACGCCGCACCCCCUCCAGCUCUCACGCGGUCUUUUCUCAUGUGGAGUUGUACAGGAAAGGCAAGGAUGGCCUUGCCAAAAUAUUUGCUUAUUGGGAGCACAUGCCGGGGAUAUAAAACCUUCCAUUAUAUCAAUAAAUCACUGCUUUUCUGAUUGA